RNAcentral lists this microRNA (24 nucleotides) under Prunus persica (peach). Its description in RNAcentral is "microRNA miRNA_38". Lineage: Eukaryota; Viridiplantae; Streptophyta; Magnoliopsida; Rosales; Rosaceae. The record is from RNAcentral.
ACUAGGCUUCUGUAGCUUGUGACU